Molecule: ribosomal RNA, 805 nt
Filed under: Priestia megaterium
Lineage: Bacteria; Bacillati; Bacillota; Bacilli; Caryophanales; Bacillaceae
Description: bacterial SSU rRNA
Rfam family: Bacterial small subunit ribosomal RNA
Source: RNAcentral
CUAUGACGUAGCGCGGACGGGUGAGUAACAGUGGGCAACCUGCCUGUAAGCUGGGAUAACUUGGGAAACGAAGCAAUACGGAUAGGAUCUCUCUUCAUGGAGAUGAUUGAAAGAGGUUUCGGCAUCACUUACGAUGGGCCGCGGUGCAUUAGUAGUUGGUGAGGUAACGGUCACCAAGGCACGAUGCAUAGCCGCCUGAGGGUGAUCGGCCACACUGGACUGAGACAGGCCCAGACUCCUAGGGGGCACAGUAGGAAUUCCGCAAUGGACGAAAUCUGACGGACAACGCCGCGUGAGUAUGAAGGCUUUCGGGUCGUAAAACCUGUUGUUAGGGAAGAACAGUACGAGAGUAACUGCUGUACCUUGAGGUACCUAACCGAAAGCACGGCUACUACGUGCCAGCAGCCGCGGUAUACGAGGUGGCAAGCGUUAUCCGGAUUAUUGGGCGAAAGCGCGGCAGGCGGUUUCUUAGUCUGAUGUGAAAGCCCAGGCUCAACCGUGGAGGUCAUUGGAAACUGGGAACUUGAGUGCAGAAGAGAAAGCGGAAUUCCAGUGUAGCGGUGAAAUGCGUAAGAUGUGGAGGAACACAGUGGCGAAGGCGGCUUGGUCUGUAACUACGCUGAGGCGCGAAGCGUGGAGCAACAGGAUUAGUACCCUGGUAGUCCACGCCGUAAACGAUGAGUGCUAAGUGUUAGAGGGUUCCGCCUUUAGUGUGCAGCUAACGCAUUAAGCACUCCGCCUGGGGGUACGGUCGCAAGACUGAAAUCAAAGGAAUUGACGGGCCGCACAAGCGGUGGAGCAUGUG